This 71-nucleotide transfer RNA is filed under the name Procavia capensis (Cape rock hyrax). Its description in RNAcentral is "tRNA-Pro (TGG) (tRNA-Pro-TGG-4-1)". It matches the Rfam family "tRNA". Rfam says of the family: Transfer RNA (tRNA) molecules are approximately 80 nucleotides in length. Their secondary structure includes four short double-helical elements and three loops (D, anti-codon, and T loops). The record is from RNAcentral. Lineage: Eukaryota; Metazoa; Chordata; Mammalia; Hyracoidea; Procaviidae.
GCAGUGGUGAGUCAGUGGUAGACUUCUUACCUUGGAAGAAAGAGACCUGGGUUCAAUUCCCAGCCAAUGCA